The submitters of this non-coding RNA (124 nucleotides) gave its source as unclassified sequences. The record is from Rfam.
AUCUAUACUGUGAGAAUCAGUGUCAACUUUGUGGGGCUUAUAUUCAGUUAUUCUUUAUGUAAAAUAGGAGUCAUGACCUAAUAAUAUCAUAACAUAAACUGAUAUUAGUGCAGAGAAAUCAAAG